Long non-coding RNA from Musa acuminata AAA Group (dessert banana), 685 nucleotides. RefSeq lists it as uncharacterized. The transcript is spliced from 2 exons. The record is from RefSeq and is a predicted model, not a curated record. Lineage: Eukaryota; Viridiplantae; Streptophyta; Magnoliopsida; Zingiberales; Musaceae.
ACUGGGCACGAAUCUUGAAGCGCGCAGCAGAGGCACCGUGCCUCCUUUUUAUUCUCCGUGAGCUGCGCAACAGAGAGGCAGAGGGGAGAGGGAGGAGGAGGUGAGUAGUGCGCCGUUACCGAGGGCGGGCAUGCUUCCUCCUCUUCUCCUUUACCACCUCCUACGCCGACGAGUUCUGCCGUCGGAAGUGAGCGCUCUACGUCCUGGCUUAUCUCGGGACUUGACCGCCGACCCUCCUCUUCCUCCUUUUGCAGGAGAUCUAGGGCGCAUCCACAUUAUACCAAUUAGUGAAGCUACAGAUUGGAUAUGGCCUGAACCAGCGGACGUCACAUUCUUUGCCAAGGCAGCUGCUUGGCCACCAUACUACAUCCGAGGGGAGUUGGCCGGUAUCUAGUUGCAAUAAGACUGAGUCAGGGCAAUUCAAAGCCUAAGGCCACCUGCAUGCUUGAAAUGAAAUAUGCACUGCUGUUUUAUCAACUUGAAAGCAGAAAUCUCUUUGAAUCUGUAACAUAGUCUCCUGCUUUAGACUACUCGUUCUUGUUGCUACUGGUGAUUGGUUUUGCAAUCUUCAACAUGUAUGGAAGAUGCUUCAUUACAUCCAUUUCAAUGUAGAAUGCUAUAUGACUUCAUGUAUUAUACUUAAAAAUCUCAAUAAACUGAACGAGCUGCCCCCGGAAUUGUGCUA